GCCACUUACUAGUGAACAGAAUCAUAUCCAAAAUGAUGCGACGGUGUCAGUUCAGUGAGAAUACUGAUUCUUUCUACAUGUAAAAUAUAUUUGAAUGCUGGUACUGCUGUCACCAUUGCUGCUCAACACUGAAUCCCUAUCCUGGUACCACUGCCAUCCUUAUCCCAGAAAAAAAGGAUUUGCUGUUGCCACAGACACUGAAAUCAUGGAUGUUACACAGUUCAUGUUUCUGUAGUUCCCAAUUCAGUGCCUGGAAGAGAGGCUUAUGGUUAGAGGAGUGUAGGACCUCUACACUCAGACACAAGGUUAUUUGGAAAGCAAAUAUCUGGGUAGGUAUUUGUGGUAGGAUAAAAGCUCUUAACAAAAACACAUACUGAGGAAUUGCUUAAAUAACAAAGAAAGAUCUCUUCACAUGCAUCAGAACCUCCACGACAGCAAAUAUCUUAAUGAAGACAGGGAGUUCCCCCUCCCUCUCUCUGUCACCCUUUCUCCCUGAGCCUUCUCUCUUUCUCUCUUAACUACAAUGAGUUUUAAUAAAAUUUAAAUCCUCCAUGAACACGAGUAGAUUGUAAUUGGAGAAAUAGGAGGAAGACUAAAAUUCAGCUCCUGACGAAGGUUAUAUUAUUCAGUCCAGAUUUACCAUUCACAAAGCUGAUACAACCAUCUUAAUUUGAAAUGUAUCUAUUUCUCACUUUAUUCACAAUCUAUAUGAAAGGAAGAGUAAUGAUAAUUUCAAACCUCAAAACCCAAUAGACAUAUUGCCUGAACAAUGAAGUCAAAGUGUUUUGGCUUUUAACUCAAGAAAAGUUACACAGAGGCAGCACCUUCAUUAGAUUUGCUGUUCCAUGCAGUGGUGUAUGGCCCUGCAGUGCAGAAACUGGAUUUUUUCUGUUUUGCACAUGUUCACUUUUAGCAAUGAUUCACAUAAGUAAAAUUUUCAUAAGAUAUAUAUGUUAUGUAUAUAUGAAAAACAUAAUCCCAAUGUACUAACUUAAAUAUAUUCCUUUCUCAGAAUUUGGUAUGUUCUUUCUUAUCACAGUUUCUUAUGAAACAACUGGUGGCUGAUCCCAUGGGUUAAAUAGCACGACUUAAUUUGCAAACUAGUUCUCUCUUGCUACUUCCAACUAUUGGGGCUUUCUCACCUUCUAGAGUUAAAGAUGGCCUUGUGUGCUGGAUAUAACCAAUAAGUUAUCAUAGGAAGUCUAACGGGUCAUAGAAUUUUGAGAAAACUUUUGCUUAAUUGAUAAAACAUUUCAAAAUCUAGCUGGCAUUACUCCUUUCCUUUUAAUACUGCCUUUAAUGUACAUGUGGAGCAGUGGCUAUCAUUUUGUAAAACUGAAAGACAAAUCAACAUGUUUAGGACAGUAGGGCAGUAAUAUAGAAAGAUCUCAAUUCCUUAAAUAUACUGUUUAACAGCUGGAUAAAUACUAGUUUAAUGAUAAUUGUUAAUUUAACAAUAAAUGUCUUAUAUUUCACGCCACCAUUGGCCACAUAUUUUGUCAACUGAAACCAAAACUGUUCUCCUGAUACAAAUAGUAAACAUGAAACAUAUGAAAAAUAGUGCUUAUUUAUUAUUUUAUUAGAAAGAAUGUUUCAUAUAAACUUUAGAAAACACAGUGAAAUAAUCUGACGACACAAAAUUGAUGAUAUUACUUUUUCUUUUUUUUUUUUGGUCUUUUCUAAGGCCACACCUGGGCAUAUGGAGGUUCCCAGGUUAGGGGUCUAAUAGGAGCUGCAGCUGCCAGCCUACGCCAGAGCCACAGCAACACAGGAUCUGAGCUGUGUCUGUGACCUACACCACAGCUCACGGCAAUGCCAGAUCCUUAACCCACUGAACAAGGCCAGGGAUGGAACCCAGAACCUCAUCAUUCCUGUCGGAUUCAUUAACCACUGAGCCAUGAUGGGGACUCCGAAGAUAUUUCUUUAGAGAUAAAACUGGCCCUAAGGCUUUGUGUCCAAUGUAUUUCUUGUGCGGACCAUAUUUAAUGUACUGUGGCUUUUAUCUAUGAAAGCUUAUUUUUCAUUAUUUUAUAUUGGUCACCAAUUGCAUGGAAAAAUUCACAUUUCUAAUUAAACUGUUUACUUUUUUCUAGUAGAUAUUGUGUCUUUUAUCUUCAAAGGUUAGUAUUCAUCAGUCUCUUGAUUACAAUGGCAUCUUAGAAUUACUGCUUUGAGGGCUGAAGUUUGAUUUUACAAUUAAUUAGCUCUUAAUCCUAAGCAAGUUAUUUAAUUAGAGCUUUAUAAAUCUGUCUUAAAUGAUACCUUGGAUAUUUAAUUUUUAAAUAUACUCUGAAGCUUCUCUAGCAUUGCAAUAUCUAGGCUUCCCUCAAAAAAAAAGACUCUAUUUCAAUAAAUAGCUUACAAAUUUUCAUCACAGAUUUUCUAACUCUUACCUUUAUAAUUUUCUCUUUAGAAGCAAAAAGAAAACAUUUACAAAAGCAUAUACUAAAAUGUUUUUGAAAUUGAAAUUAAUACAGUCAAAAUAAUAUAAUCAUAAUUAAUGAAAUAGUCAAAUAAUAAAUUUGUAAUUAUUUAAAAUCAUAUAUAGAAUUCGGUGUGAUUACAAAGACACAUCACAGAAUUUAUGCAGAAUAUGAGUUUUUCUUUCUGCUGUCCUCAAAGACUCAGACAUACAGACAUUUAGGUUAAAGUACUUAUUUUCCUCUUAAUAAAAAGGGAAAUCUGUAAUGCAUUUUUUUUUCAGAAAAUAUUAUUUACUAUAAAUGGCAUUUAACACCUAACUUAGCUGGUAAGACAGUUAUGAAUGAUCACAUUAUUUAAGCUAUUAAUGCAAAGCAUGACCCAUGUCUAUCUGAGAUGUUUAGAGGGGAUUAAUAGGCUGUAUGUAAAAUUGAUAGCUAAAUCUUAGGUUAAAAAAGUACAUUUCUAGUCCUAUCUUUAAUAUUGUCAUUUUGGUCAUUUUAGAGUUUGCUUGGUUUUUAGAAUUUCAGCUGGCUUCAAUUUCUUGGCGGUGUAAUAAAUAGCUACUCUUUUCUCUCUUAAUGUUUAUACAUAUUCAAUACUAAAUUAUUUAAAUUCAAUUUUAAUGUGUGAUAAUUUAAGCAGAUAAAUUAGGCUAUUCAGAAUGAAAUCUGAUUACAUGACCAUUGAAAGGUAAUAUCAUAUGCAGCUUGCUACAACCAUAAAAUAAUUCUUUAUAAAGGAACUUGGAACUUUAAUUACAUGUGUAUAUCAUUUCAUAUUAUUAUCAAAAUUGUUACAUUCUCCUUUACAUACAAUUCUCAUUUAGUCUGUCUCAUUUAAUGUUUCCCACAUUCAUUGUAAUAGUUUCUCAACUUUAAAUGUGGGCCUUUGUCAUAUAUUCCUAUUAAUGCUAUAUAGGCAUGCACUUUACCUACCUUAUUCCCAAAAGGUAUUUAAUACUACCAUAAUGUCCUUUCACAAGGAAUCUGAAUAAUAAUCAGAGACCACAGGGACCGUUUGGAGUUGUAAUAAAGACUGACUCCAUUUUUGAUGUUUGAUUCUUGACAGCUUUCAAAUCCUACUGCUUCUCCUAAGCACUUGGUGAGGUUGAUAAAGGAAGUCUGGGUGCUCUCUCUUUUUGUGCUGAUAGGAUGUUCAAAGCAUGUGAUCCCUGGCCUUUGUAUAAGAACCCUCACCCAGCUCUACUCCCUAAUCAUAAAGGAGAACCAAUCUUCUUUUAGACCAGCUUGGGACAUUAUCAUGCUCUCACCCCAGAAAGCCUUGCUAUAUAAGUAAGAAAAAUUUUCAUACCCUCUUGGGGUGUGUGUGUGUGUAUGUGUGUGUGUCUGUGUGUGUGUUUGGCAUUAUUAGUUUCAAUACCUUAAACGAAUGCUGUGUGGGGUAUCCAGCCCAUCUUUGUGAGUUGGUUACAACAGCUGGCACUAUGAGAAGUUUGUCAAGGCAAUAAUCACUAUAACUAGCUGUCAUUGUUCUUUUGCUUUGGUUUGCUGCCUGCUGAUGAGCAUGCUCUUUUAGCUGUGCCUCUCUGUGCUCGAUUUUCUGAGUCCUAUUGAGCCUCUUAUAGAUUAAUGAACCAUGUUGGAAAUUUCAAUAACUGACCAUUAAGGAAAAGAGUAUGAGACUUGGCCCUCCUUAACGUGGCCCUGAGUCAAGUGUCAUGACCCAGAUUAUCUUUAUGUCACAGAUUGAGUCAUGUGUCUCAAUUAUAAUGUAAGCCAUGCCUGAUGCUAGACUCAGGAGAACAACUCUUACUCUGUGACUACUGGUUAUGUGUCUAAACCAGAUAUAGGCCCCCAUUUGACAGAGUACUCAGAGGAAAAACUGAUAUUCUUUGUAACAAUUUUAAUUGAUUCUUGAGAUUCAAGCUACAUUCAUAUCUAGGAUUUCACCAUAUUUAAUUAAGGUAACCCCCCUAUUCUCUCUGAGAAAUUACCAAACAUAAAAGUCUUAUCUUAACUACUACUACUUACUUAACUGCUACUACUACAAAGUAGCUACUGCUUUGCCGAAAAAACCCUGUGAUCAUAGUACAUAUGGCCCUAAAAUAUCCCACGGUGGGCAUGAUCAUUCUGACUCAUGAGUAAUACAUUUAAAUUGUUAAGUCUUGACACUUAACAAUCAGCUCUACACAAAUGGGAUCUGCCAUGGACUUCCCCCUGUUUCCAUCCAAUUAAAAUAUCUAAUAUGAUUCAUAUAAAUCACAACUGGCCUUCAAGGAUUGAAACCCACUAUACAAAACUUAUUUUUAUCAGGAUUGAUUUCCCCCCACCAUGUCUCAAUUUAACAGCAUAACCAGGCCUGCUCUUAAACUUGGAAAAAAAUGAAUGGAGGCUCCUUAUAGAUUUCAGCAAUCUUUAGAUCAUGAGUUCCCCACUAAGUCACUUAUUUUAAUACUAUUGAAAUUCCUGACUCUUUCCAAUCAGAAACUAAUGAACACUUUAUAAUUACAGAUUUGGCUGAUAUGUUCUGUUCAUUGCCUGUUUCAACAACCUCUUGGCUGUAGUUUGCUUUAAGUUCAAAGAAACAGAAUGCACUUUUACCUAACUACCCUGGGGUACCUCAACUUCCCUGCCAUCUCACACAAUCUUCAUAGAAAAGAAUUAACCUCAUUCAACUUCCUCCAGGAGCACAGGUAUGACAUCAUAUCAAUGACAUUCUCCAAAGAGAUUCACUGGACAAAGUCAUUCAGGGUAUACAAAAACUCACAAAGAACCUUUACCAAAAGGGGGUGGGCCAUUGGCCCUCCCAUAGUACAAGGCCCCACCAUUUAGGCUAAAUUCCUAAAAAUUAUUUGAUCAGUCAAGGGUUACUCUGUCGCUGACUCUGUCAAGAAACAAAUAUUGACCUGCUCAGCACCAGCAAAGUUAACAUGAGCUGGACAUAUUUUAGGCCUUUUUAUGUUCUGAAGGUUAAUACUGUCUCAAUUUAUAAAUUUUACUAGAGUCCAUUUAUGCAGCUACUUGCUAAUCAUCCACUUUGAUUGGAGUACUUUACUAGAAAAGGCCUUAGAAUCCAUCCAAAUCACAAUACAGUAGGCACUCUCUUUAAUACCUCUAGACACUCCUUCACCUUAGCUUUAGGAAUCUCCUCUCAUACCUCUUGGAGUAACUGAAUCAACCAUGAUGUCAAUAAAUUUCCUUUGGACCUCUGGAACAUAAAGUGUCCAUGGACUUCUGGACUGCAAAGCAUUAGUGCAUCAGUUGCUGGCUGCACACAGAGCUCAUAUAGGCCCUUAGUCUACGAUGCUUCAUAUUCAGCUGCUCAUUAUGCCUUUGGUCAUAAAAGCAGCACCCUGCAACCCUGGUCCAGCCACUAAAGUCUCCUUCAUAAGAUAAAAAGGUACCUACAAGAUAGAGCUAAAUCUGGGUUCUCUGACAUACCCUGGUUGCAGCAGAAUGGCCUCAUUGUCCCUAGUCCAUAGUCAAAUGCAUGGUGCUAAAGAAGGUCACUCCUUUGUGUAUAUAUACCACAGAAAGACAAAGACAAAUACCAUAUGAUAUCACUUAUAACUGGAAUCUAAUAUCCAGCACAAAUGAGCAUCUCCUCAGAAAAGAAAAUCAUGGACUUGGAGAAGAGACUUGUGGCUGCCUGAUGGGAGGGGGAGGGAGUGGGAGGGAUCGGGAGCUUGGGCUUAUCAGACACAACCUAGAAUAGAUUUACAAGGAGAUCCUGCUGAAUAGCAUUGAGAACUUUGUCUAGAUACUCAUGUUGCAACAGAAGAAAGGGUGGGGGAAAAAUGUAAUUGUAAUGUAUACAUGUAAGGAUAACCUGACCCCCUCGCUGUACAGUGGGAAAAUAAAAAAAAUUAUUAAAAAAAAAAAAAA
Molecule: long non-coding RNA, 6269 nt
Filed under: Sus scrofa (pig)
Lineage: Eukaryota; Metazoa; Chordata; Mammalia; Artiodactyla; Suidae
Description: lncRNA (ENSSSCG00050032193.1)
Source: RNAcentral